RNAcentral lists this ribosomal RNA (253 nucleotides) under uncultured bacterium. RNAcentral's name for it is "partial 16S ribosomal RNA". It matches the Rfam family "Bacterial small subunit ribosomal RNA", at positions 524 to 776 of the family's 1533-position model. The record is from RNAcentral.
UACAGAGGUCCCAAGCGUUGUUCGGAUUCACUGGGCGUAAAGGGUGCGUAGGCGGUCGGGUAAGUCUGAUGUGAAAUCUCACAGCUUAACUGUGAAACUGCAUUGGAUACUAUCCGGCUAGAGGAAUGGAGGGGAGACUGGAAUACUUGGUGUAGCAGUGAAAUGCGUAGAUAUCAAGUGGAACACCAGUGGCGAAGGCGAGUCUCUGGACAUUUCCUGACGCUGAGGCGCGAAAGCCAGGGGAGCAAACGGG